Non-coding RNA from Schistosoma mansoni, 45 nucleotides. NCBI's taxonomy places the organism in Eukaryota, Metazoa, Platyhelminthes, Trematoda, Strigeidida, Schistosomatidae. The record is from Rfam.
AUCCAGCUGACAAGUUCCGAAUAAGACGAAACACAUGUCCUGUAU